GGCGUGGCGGCAGCUUACACAUGCAGUCGAGCGGUAGCACAGGGGAGCUUGCUCCCCGGGUGACGAGCGGCGGACGGGUGAGUAAUGUCUGGGAAACUGCCUGAUGGAGGGGGAUAACUACUGGAAACGGUAGCUAAUACCGCAUAACGUCGCAAGACCAAAGAGGGGGACCUUCGGGCCUCUUGCCAUCAGAUGUGCCCAGAUGGGAUUAGCUAGUAGGUGGGGUAAUGGCUCACCUAGGCGACGAUCCCUAGCUGGUCUGAGAGGAUGACCAGCCACACUGGAACUGAGACACGGUCCAGACUCCUACGGGAGGCAGCAGUGGGGAAUAUUGCACAAUGGGCGCAAGCCUGAUGCAGCCAUGCCGCGUGUGUGAAGAAGGCCUUCGGGUUGUAAAGCACUUUCAGCGAGGAGGAAGGUGGUGAGCUUAAUACGCUCAUCAAUUGACGUUACUCGCAGAAGAAGCACCGGCUAACUCCGUGCCAGCAGCCGCGGUAAUACGGAGGGUGCAAGCGUUAAUCGGAAUUACUGGGCGUAAAGCGCACGCAGGCGGUUUGUUAAGUCAGAUGUGAAAUCCCCGGGCUCAACCUGGGAACUGCAUUUGAAACUGGCAAGCUAGAGUCUCGUAGAGGGGGGUAGAAUUCCAGGUGUAGCGGUGAAAUGCGUAGAGAUCUGGAGGAAUACCGGUGGCGAAGGCGGCCCCCUGGACGAAGACUGACGCUCAGGUGCGAAAGCGUGGGGAGCAAACAGGAUUAGAUACCCUGGUAGUCCACGCUGUAAACGAUGUCGAUUUGGAGGUUGUGCCCUUGAGGCGUGGCUUCCGGAGCUAACGCGUUAAAUCGACCGCCUGGGGAGUACGGCCGCAAGGUUAAAACUCAAAUGAAUUGACGGGGGCCCGCACAAGCGGUGGAGCAUGUGGUUUAAUUCGAUGCAACGCGGAAGAACCUUUACCUACUCUUGACAUCCAGAGAACUUUAGCAGAGAUGCAUUUGGUUGCCCUUCGGGAAACUCUGAGAACAGGUGCUGCAUGGGCUGUCGUCAGCCUCGUGGUUGUGAAAUGUUGGGUUAAGUUCCCGCCAACGAGCCGCCAACCCCUAAUCCUUUUGUUGCCAGCGGUUCGGCCGGACUCAAGGAAACUGGCCAGUGACAUAAACCUGGAACGCAAGUGGGGAUUGACGUCAAGUCAUCAUUGCUGUACGAGUAGGCCUUACAACACAUACGUGU
This 1224-nucleotide ribosomal RNA is filed under the name Serratia nematodiphila. RNAcentral's name for it is "bacterial SSU rRNA". It matches the Rfam family "Bacterial small subunit ribosomal RNA", at positions 32 to 1225 of the family's 1533-position model. The record is from RNAcentral. Lineage: Bacteria; Pseudomonadati; Pseudomonadota; Gammaproteobacteria; Enterobacterales; Yersiniaceae.